CCGGCCGCGGCCCUGGGAGCAGGAGGAGCAGCGAACCAUAUGGAAGAAGAGCAGUGAGGUCUCCAUUUACCUGUUCUUGCACGUUCCUGCCUCGCUCAUGUUUUCCUUCAGUCUCUCCAGAGACUCAGCAGGCAUGACUGGAGAGGGAAAUCCCAAUGGUGCUAGAAUGGUGCUACAGUGGCAGAAGACGGCUCACAAGUGAAGUCUGGAAGAACGUCAGGGAAGGCAUCCAUCACUUGCUCCAAGUGUGCAAUUCAGAUCCUGGGGAGAAAA
Non-coding RNA from Castor canadensis (American beaver), 273 nucleotides. The record is from RefSeq and is a predicted model, not a curated record. Lineage: Eukaryota; Metazoa; Chordata; Mammalia; Rodentia; Castoridae.